GGGGUGAGAGGCAGGGAGGGGAUAGGAUUGAUUCCAGAGUUCUGGCUUGGCUGACAAGCUGGUGGAGGAGACAGAAGGAAAAACCAAGGGAGAGGGAUGCAUAGUGAGUUAUUAAUAAUAAGAUAUGCCCAUCAUCUCUUUUAAAAAUUUAUUUUUUGCCCAGUAGGAAAAACACUGUAAAUAACUUAGAUGUCAAUAGAGAGGAAGUUAAAUAAACUGUUAUAUCCAUACUAAGCAAUAUUAUGAAAUAUGAAAUAUGAGGAAAUAGUCACAAUAAUUUAUGCUUUGGAAGGGAGUCAUAAAAAAGUGUUACAGAGUAAUUCUGUUUUUGUAAAACUACUGUUAGUGUUUAUGUAUGCAUUUUUUUUAAAAAUUGAAAUAGUAAACAUCAAAAUAUUAAAAACAAUUAUCUCUUAAUGAUGAGUCACAGGGGAUUUUUACCAUCUUUAUGUAUUUCCCUCAUUCCUUCUCUAGGAACAAAAUCAAAGGUUACUAAUCCAUGUCCUCUCUAUAAAGAUGCAGAGUCUGAACUGAUGGUCCCUUAGAGCCAUGCCGAAGGGUCUGAAGGUGCUUCUGCCCCGCACCCUGCGUGUUCUGUCACAUGGAAAAGCAGCCCCUUGGGCCCAGGCAGCAGCUGGGCGGCUACUUCUCUGGGUUGUGAAUGGUGCAAUCCUUCUGGAGUUUAGACCCUAGUCUAGGUGGGACAGAAGCCACUAAUGAAUUGCAUCAGGAUCUCUGGCUUAAGAGGGCGCUGGGGGUGUUCCUUCCAAGUGGAUGAGGAGGACAGGGGUAAGAUGCUGUUGGGCUGGGCCACAAGUUCAUGACAGACAUGAAGAAAACCACAUUGAAUGAAUUGAUGAAGGGGCGAGAGCAACUUUGUGAAUCUUUUGGAUACAUUGGGAAUUCUUUUUAUCAAUUGAUGAGUGAAUUAAACAGGAUUAUAAAGAGAUUAAAUCACCAAAUACAAGUCACUAUAUGUUAGUUGCCCCCAGAUUAGUAGAGCUCAGUGCUAGUAAAAUCUAAAGGGUGAGAGACACCCCUGAGCCCUCAAGAUCCCCCUGAGUUCUGGAGUGAGAAGGCCUGUUCUUCUCU
This 1092-nucleotide long non-coding RNA is filed under the name Capra hircus (goat). Its description in RNAcentral is "lncRNA (ENSCHIG00010010105.1)". Lineage: Eukaryota; Metazoa; Chordata; Mammalia; Artiodactyla; Bovidae. The record is from RNAcentral.